UGUUUAAUUAGUAUAAAUAGUACAAUUAAUUUCCAAUUAAUAAGUUUUUUAAAAAUUGAACAA
RNAcentral lists this transfer RNA (63 nucleotides) under Amblyomma hebraeum (bont tick). RNAcentral's name for it is "tRNA-Gly". The record is from RNAcentral. Lineage: Eukaryota; Metazoa; Arthropoda; Arachnida; Ixodida; Ixodidae.